This is a long non-coding RNA of Lemur catta (Ring-tailed lemur), 219 nucleotides long. RefSeq lists it as uncharacterized. Lineage: Eukaryota; Metazoa; Chordata; Mammalia; Primates; Lemuridae. The record is from RefSeq and is a predicted model, not a curated record. The transcript has 4 exons.
ACCACAGAUGAGCAAAGAUAUUUUUGCUGUUGCAAAGAAAUAAAAGUUCACGGAGACUGUUGAGCCCCUUCACAUUCCAUUCUGUCCUAUUUCACUUCUCCAGAGAUAACCACUGUCCUGAAGUUGGUAUAUCUAACAAUGAUAUUUGAAAAACAUUUGGCUACUGUUUUUGGUCCAGUCUUGGAGAGAGAUGGGGUCUAACUACGUUGCCCAGGCUGG